RNAcentral lists this transfer RNA (73 nucleotides) under Gaiellaceae bacterium. RNAcentral describes it as "tRNA-Ala". It matches the Rfam family "tRNA". From Rfam's summary of the family: Transfer RNA (tRNA) molecules are approximately 80 nucleotides in length. Their secondary structure includes four short double-helical elements and three loops (D, anti-codon, and T loops). The record is from RNAcentral. Lineage: Bacteria; Bacillati; Actinomycetota; Thermoleophilia; Gaiellales; Gaiellaceae. RNAcentral also lists the same sequence under 2 other names.
GGGCCCAUAGCUCAGCUGGGAGAGCGCCGCGAUGGCAUCGCGGAGGCCGGCGGUUCGAGCCCGCCUGGGUCCA